GGCUGGUCUGAUGGUAGUCGGUUAUCAGAACUUAUUAACAUUAGUGUCACUAAAGUUGGUAUACAACCCCCCACUGCUAAAUUUGACUGGCUUAAA
RNAcentral lists this Y RNA (96 nucleotides) under Cebus imitator (Panamanian white-faced capuchin). RNAcentral's name for it is "Y RNA (ENSCCAG00000011189.1)". It matches the Rfam family "Y RNA". From Rfam's summary of the family: Y RNAs are components of the Ro ribonucleoprotein particle (Ro RNP), in association with Ro60 and La proteins. The record is from Rfam by way of RNAcentral. Lineage: Eukaryota; Metazoa; Chordata; Mammalia; Primates; Cebidae.